Long non-coding RNA from Impatiens glandulifera, 733 nucleotides. RefSeq lists it as uncharacterized. The transcript is spliced from 9 exons. The record is from RefSeq and is a predicted model, not a curated record. Lineage: Eukaryota; Viridiplantae; Streptophyta; Magnoliopsida; Ericales; Balsaminaceae.
UUUUCAGAUUAGUGACUAAGUCUGACUAUUUAACGUUGCGAAAUGGUUUCAUAAGUGUUUAUAUGGGUCCAGGAAGUAAAUUUUACUUCCAAAAGUAUAUCCAAACGUCAUUGGAGGAUGAUUUCAAAACAGUUGUAGGAGUAAGUCAUGUCUUGUGGGCGUCAUUUGUGAUCUUCUCGCUCCUGAAUAUUAAUGAUAAUCUUGGUGGUUGGAACAGAGCUUCAAGUUAUUAUGAAAAAAAUGGCUAUGGAAAUCACCCAAAGACAUUGCAGACGGCAAAGGAGAAUUUUGAGUUAGCCCUGGAGGUUGACAAUUCAAAUAAACAAGCUAGAGGGGCUGCUUUAUUGGUUGAAGCUGCAGUAUGGGUGAUCCAGAUGCAUAAUAUGAACUAGGCUAAUAAAUAUGUUCAGUUGGGUCAUCAAACAUUCUAUUUGGAGAAGGCUAGGUACAUUUUUUUUUCCUGCAAAGUAUUGAUGACAGUAUUGAUGACUGGCUGUAGUAUUGUUGUUAGAACUUAUUCUAAGUUCUAUUUUUGGAUUUAAUCCAUUCCAGGUGUUAUAUGUUGUCUUCAUCUUUGAGCUGUCAAAUGCAUGAAGAAGCAACCAGAUUUGGUCCAAGAAGAAGUGGAUGUCCAAGAAGAAGAUUAAGUGGAUGAACCCAUUCAUUUCCAGUUCUUUACUGGUUUGUUCAAAAAUUAUUUUAUUUUGUUUGAAAUAUAUUUGAUGUUGGGAGA